AAUAGAUAAAUAAGGUUGGAAUGGUAAUGUAGGCGGGGCAAGCGUGCCACAGUUAUGAUAGAACAAACAUAACUCGACCGAUUCUUUCAUUCACCGCGUUUAGUGCGCUUCGGACUACUUGGCGAACAGAUCUCCGCUUUAUAGUGCCGUGUUGUGCAAUUAUAACUUGUAAAACAAAAAAUCAGACCUCAAGUAUAGAGCGAGGAGGUAUAUCUUUCGAUCGCAAGUUAUAAAUAGCAUACAUUGCGCGAUGUGUACUCGCCCAAUGAACGCAAUGACCAAGUCAGCUUCCAAUGUACUACAUGCAUUGCGUUCUCUACACUUCAAUCUUUGAAAUUUCGGCCUUUGCCCUGAUUGGCCGUGCAGUUUGUCGAUAGUGAGGUGACCAUGUGGUGAAAUAAAAUCAUCGACAGAAUUCUCGACUAUAUUUACAUUUGACAUGGAUAAUUUUUGCAUUAUUUUAUAUUUAAUUAAUGAUACCUAGUAUAUUCUUAGUGAGACGUAUUUUGAGUAAAAUAAAAAUGUAUUAUUAUUAUUGAAUUAUUAUCAUUGAAUUAAAGUGAAGGUAUAAUAUAAAGGGACAUGUAGACCUCUAAUUUGCGGGUAUUUACUAUAUUGUCUAAGACGUAUUAAAAUCUAAGUAAAAUGCUAUUUGACUUAUGCAGUAAAUUAAAAAUUUUAGGUUUCCUAAAGAACCUAACGCCAGGGAACAAUGGAUUGACGUGACAGGUAGAGGAAACUGGAGACAAAGACGAGUACUAUUUGCUCUAAACAUUUUACUGAAAAUGAUUUUAUCAUAAAAAAAAUCAGAAUACACUUAGUUUUGAAAAAUUCAUUCGCAAUUAAUAGCAAGCGCCAACUGCUUAACAAAUACGUUUUAUUCCAGCGACAGUGACUAUUUGUAAUUAAUAAAAGUAAAAUAGUUUUUUUUUUCAAUAUUUA
This is a long non-coding RNA of Bombyx mori (domestic silkworm), 942 nucleotides long. RefSeq lists it as uncharacterized. Lineage: Eukaryota; Metazoa; Arthropoda; Insecta; Lepidoptera; Bombycidae. The transcript has 2 exons. The record is from RefSeq and is a predicted model, not a curated record.